UGCCUCAAUACAAUAAAUUAAGCAUAAUAUCACAGAAUAACCCAACGUAUAAAUGCCAAUUAUAACAUAACAGUUAAAGUGAACUACAAAUGUAACCUAUCAAAUAAAUUGUUAUGAUUGAGCCUCAUGGCUCUGCUUCUGACUGACGUGGACGUAAGACUCCUCGAGAGUCAGAUACUCUCGAGGAGCGAGAAAGAAAGAGGCUGCGAGAUAUCUUUGCAGAACCAUCUGACGAAGAGUCUUUUAAGGGGUUCACGGAGAGAAUGGAGGAAGAGCUGGUUAGCUCGGAAGAGGAUGAGAUGGAUUGGACUCGGCUUUGACCUUCCGUCGUCUUCUUGACGGACGCCAUCUGCUACUCUGGAUUUACGGACUGAAAACUGACUACGGGCUCGCUUUCUCCUAUUGAACUUGGAAAACUGCAAACGUCUGAUUCUGCCUCUCGACCUACGGAACGAACUGGGACUACGCUACUGCUUCAAUCCUUGGCUGCUGAGUUUGUAUUGGAAAUUUGCCUUGCUGUGUGAAGGAGUGACUCCUAGUUACUCAAAACAUAGUGCUGGCAGCAGAGAGGCAUCUGCUGCCAAUUAGUUGCAUUCUUUUGAACUCUUUGUUUCCCAGCUUCUGUUUGUUUUUCCCCAGGCUGAAGCAAGCUGUUUUGAUUUUACCCGGAUUAAACUCCGGUUUAAUCCGGUUUAUCUUUUGAACGUUUUUCUUGCCCCUUUUUGUUUUUAAAGGCUAAAGUUGCCUUGCCCUUGUCUUUUACGGGCAUUUUGAGUUCUGUAAAUCCAAUAAACUCUGUUAUCUUUGA
Molecule: long non-coding RNA, 808 nt
Organism: Anolis carolinensis (green anole)
Lineage: Eukaryota; Metazoa; Chordata; Lepidosauria; Squamata; Anolidae
Exons: 2
Source: RefSeq, a predicted model, not a curated record